RNAcentral lists this long non-coding RNA (325 nucleotides) under Capsella grandiflora. RNAcentral describes it as "long non-coding RNA (CGRA_LNC001245)". The record is from RNAcentral. Lineage: Eukaryota; Viridiplantae; Streptophyta; Magnoliopsida; Brassicales; Brassicaceae.
UUUUUUACAUUAAAAUAAAUUUAAAACAUUCAUUUAGUGCAUAUUUAUGCUACUUAUUUAAUUAAUAGAAAAUUUAUAUAUAUUAAAAUAAAUUAUGUAAAUAAAUGAAAUGUUAAAUAAGAAAUACUUUCAUUUUUUAUUAGUUAGUGGUAUUAAUAAAAUUCAACUUUCAUUUUAAAUUGAUGAUAGUUUAAAAUUUUAAAUGUGUUACUGAGUUUAAGAAUGUAAGUAAAUUUUAAAUUUAUGGUAGAAUAAAAACAACAUUUAUGUAAUUGUAUAUAUAAAUUUUUUAAAGGGAAAAAAUAAAAUUGAAAGUGAAAUAUUA